GACAGGGGGUGCAAACGUUGCUCGGAAUUAUUGGGCGUAAAGCGCGCGUAGGCGGCCGCUUAAGUCGGAUGUGAAAGCCCCUGGCUCAACUGGGGAAGUGCACCCGAAACUGAGUGGCUUGAGUACUAAAGAGGGUCGCGGAAUUCCCGGUGUAGAGGUGAAAUUCGUAGAUAUCGGGAGGAACACCGGUGGCGAAGGCGGCGACCUGGGUAGAUACUGACGCUGAGGCGCGAAAGCGUGGGGAGCAAACAGG
This 253-nucleotide ribosomal RNA is filed under the name uncultured bacterium. RNAcentral describes it as "partial 16S ribosomal RNA". It matches the Rfam family "Bacterial small subunit ribosomal RNA", at positions 524 to 776 of the family's 1533-position model. The record is from RNAcentral.